Molecule: transfer RNA, 94 nt
Filed under: Burkholderia lata
Lineage: Bacteria; Pseudomonadati; Pseudomonadota; Betaproteobacteria; Burkholderiales; Burkholderiaceae
Description: tRNA-Val
Source: RNAcentral
GCGGCCAUGUGGCUCGGCGAAGCGCUGUGGCUCACGCUCGCGGUCGCGGGGCUGUCCGCGUUCGCACGCACGUUCGAGGCGGGCCUGAUCGUGC